ACACGCAAAAACAGCAGUUAAUUUAUUUUCAUCUGUUCGCUUGUUUGAUUUUGUAGGAGCGGAGUCAUGAGUUUUAGUCCUUGGGACUGACAGUUCCAAGCUGGCUGCACACCACUGAGUAUUUCCGUUUUACAGAAAGGGUAUGCUCUGCGAUGAAAUGUUUUGUGAAGUAAUCUAUUGUGUAGACCGUUUGCCCGGAAAAUAGGAGAACCAAUGAUAGUUUGGAAGAUAAAUAGACCUGAGCGCACUGGCUGAUAGGUAAGUGUCAUGCCUUUCUCUUAGGUUUUCUGUGUGUUUUCUCUCAUUAUUAUUAAAUUCUUUCUGAGAAGAAAUUUACUCAAAUAAGAGUUAU
Molecule: long non-coding RNA, 352 nt
Filed under: Struthio camelus australis
Lineage: Eukaryota; Metazoa; Chordata; Aves; Struthioniformes; Struthionidae
Description: lncRNA (ENSSCUG00000007233.1)
Source: RNAcentral